This 497-nucleotide ribosomal RNA is filed under the name uncultured bacterium. Its description in RNAcentral is "partial 16S ribosomal RNA". It matches the Rfam family "Bacterial small subunit ribosomal RNA", at positions 28 to 507 of the family's 1533-position model. The record is from RNAcentral.
GAUGAACGCUGGCGGCGUGCCUAAUACAUGCAAGUCGAGCGAACAGACGAGGAGCUUGCUCCUCUGACGUUAGCGGCGGACGGGUGAGUAACACGUGGAUAACCUACCUAUAAGACUGGGAUAACUUCGGGAAACCGGAGCUAAUACCGGAUAAUAUAUUGAACCGCAUGGUUCAAUAGUGAAAGACGGUUUUGCUGUCACUUAUAGAUGGAUCCGCGCCGCAUUAGCUAGUUGGUAAGGUAACGGCUUACCAAGGCAACGAUGCGUAGCCGACCUGAGAGGGUGAUCGGCCAAACUGGAAAUGGGAAACGGUCCAGACUCCUAAGGGAGGCAGCAGUAGGGAAUCUUCCGCAAUGGGCGAAAGCCUGACGGAGCAACGCCGCGUGAGUGAUGAAGGUCUUCGGAUCGUAAAACUCUGUUAUUAGGGAAGAACAAAUGUGUAAGUAACUAUGCACGUCUUGACGGUACCUAAUCAGAAAGCCACGGCUAACUACGUG